UGCCUUAACGACUGGUACGAUAGGCGUGCC
RNAcentral lists this small RNA (30 nucleotides) under Bombyx mori (domestic silkworm). RNAcentral describes it as "ovarian small RNA-33886". Lineage: Eukaryota; Metazoa; Arthropoda; Insecta; Lepidoptera; Bombycidae. The record is from RNAcentral.